This 427-nucleotide ribosomal RNA is filed under the name Malikia granosa. Its description in RNAcentral is "bacterial SSU rRNA". It matches the Rfam family "Bacterial small subunit ribosomal RNA", at positions 30 to 459 of the family's 1533-position model. Lineage: Bacteria; Pseudomonadati; Pseudomonadota; Betaproteobacteria; Burkholderiales; Comamonadaceae. The record is from RNAcentral.
AUUGAACGCUGGCGGCAUGCUUUACACAUGCAAGUCGAACGGUAACAGGUCUUCGGAUGCUGACGAGUGGCGAACGGGUGAGUAAUGCAUCGGAACGUGCCCAGUCGUGGGGGAUAACGCAGCGAAAGUUGUGCUAAUACCGCAUACGAUCUAUGGAUGAAAGCGAGGGACCGUAAGGCCUCGCGCGAUUGGAGCGGCCGAUGUCAGAUUAGGUAGUUGGUGGGGUAAAGGCCCACCAAGCCAACGAUCUGUAGCUGGUCUGAGAGGACGACCAGCCACACUGGGACUGAGACACGGCCCAGACUCCUACGGGAGGCAGCAGUGGGGAAUUUUGGACAAUGGGCGCAAGCCUGAUCCAGCAAUGCCGCGUGCAGGAAGAAGGCCUUCGGGUUGUAAACUGCUUUUGUACGGAACGAAAAGGUUCGGG